Long non-coding RNA from Pecten maximus, 894 nucleotides. RefSeq lists it as uncharacterized. The transcript is spliced from 2 exons. The record is from RefSeq and is a predicted model, not a curated record. Lineage: Eukaryota; Metazoa; Mollusca; Bivalvia; Pectinida; Pectinidae.
UUCCGACAGUCUGUAAAAUGCUCCUGGAGCUGGUCGGACUCUCUGUUCUGUGUCUCUGUCUGUCUACUAACCUCGUCUGCACGUAAGAAAUGGCCAAGGCAACCGAGGUGGAGCUUAUGGUAGCACCGGAGGAGGUCUCAUCUCUGAACGGGGAUCUGAGAACAAUUUGAGUUGAGGGAGGCAUGCAGUACCCUGUUCCUGCCUGUGGAGUAAAGGUUUACAAAACCUAUCUAGGCAUGUUGAGACACUGGGCGGACAGUCAUGCCGUGUCUGUGGUGAAGUUCCAUUGCCCAAGGUGUACAAUUUUUCCAUAUCCGGGGAAACUAGGUGCUUAGACACUUCAGGAAGCGACACUAGCUUCCAGUGGCAGAAGCUAAAAGGCUGGUGGCCACAGUUACAUCAUGUAGGAUGGCAAAUCAAAAGUGUAUUCCCCCUUAUGGAAUAAAGGUUCCCCUUCGGAGGACACCGUCUACCAAUUUCACUGAGGAAUUUAAGGAUGAGGAACUGCUGGAGCUCUUCAGUAAUGGGUACCACCUAAACAUGUGAAAGGGACAUUUGUUUUGUGUUCUGCUAUGUUGAAGGCCCCUUAUAACUGUUGACUGUUAAUUGUUACAUUUGUUGGAUGUUUGAACUGUUAUAUUGUUAAUGGUUAACUGUUACAUUUAUUAUCUAAUAUUUACAUUCUGUGUGACAGUUUCCCAUUACUCCUGUGUUAAACCAGAUGGUAUUGAUCACCGUAUAAAUGAAGACCAGAUUACAUGACGUCACUUCCGUCGGCGUCAAAAAAAUGUUUGGCAAUGCGUUGCGGGUGAAUCAAACCAGAUUUGUAACAGCGUGUAUGUAUUAUUGCGAAUACUGUCAAAUCAACAGGAAAUAAAACAUUUUUUAUUUUCA